Molecule: ribosomal RNA, 288 nt
Filed under: uncultured Bacteroidota bacterium
Lineage: Bacteria; Pseudomonadati; Bacteroidota
Description: uncultured Bacteroidetes bacterium partial 16S ribosomal RNA
Rfam family: Bacterial small subunit ribosomal RNA
Source: RNAcentral
GAUGAACGCUAGCGGGAGGCUUAACACAUGCAAGUCGAGGGGCAGCACGAGGUAGCAAUACUUUGGUGGCGACCGGCGCACGGGUGAGUAACACGUAUGCAACCUACCUUUAACUGGGGCAUAGCCCCGAGAAAUCGGGAUUAAUUCCCCAUAUCAUUCCGGUGAGGCAUCUCACUGGGAUGAAAGCUCCGACGGUUAAAGAUGGGCAUGCGUGACAUUAGCUUGUUGGUGAGGUAACGGCUCACCAAGGCUACGAUGUCUAGGGGUUCUGAGAGGAUGAUCCCCCCA